GUCGUGAGACAGUUCGGUCCCUAUCUGCCGUGGGUGUAGGAAACUUGAGAGGAGCUGUCCCUAGUACGAGAGGACCGGGAUGGACGCACCACUGGUGGAUCUGUUGUGGCGCCAGCCGCAGUGCAGAGUAGCUAUGUGCGGAACGGAUAACCGCUGAAAGCAUCUAAGCGGGAAGCCACCCUCAAAACAAGGUUUCCCUGAAGGACGGUGGGAGACUACCACAUGAUAGGCCGGAGGUGUAAGUGCAGCAAUGCAUUCAGCUGACCGGUACUAAUAGUCCGUUCGGCUUGAUUAU
RNAcentral lists this ribosomal RNA (295 nucleotides) under Paracoccaceae bacterium. RNAcentral describes it as "Rhodobacteraceae bacterium partial 23S ribosomal RNA". It matches the Rfam family "Bacterial large subunit ribosomal RNA", at positions 2618 to 2925 of the family's 2925-position model. Lineage: Bacteria; Pseudomonadati; Pseudomonadota; Alphaproteobacteria; Rhodobacterales; Paracoccaceae. The record is from RNAcentral.